Molecule: long non-coding RNA, 526 nt
Organism: Lagenorhynchus albirostris (white-beaked dolphin)
Lineage: Eukaryota; Metazoa; Chordata; Mammalia; Artiodactyla; Delphinidae
Exons: 3
Source: RefSeq, a predicted model, not a curated record
GGUGAGAGAGGCGGUGCGUUGCCCGCUUUGGGUCCUCGCUAGAGACGGGGACCUGGGCGCUCCGGACGUGAUGCUCCCGGGAGCACCGAGCGCAUUACCUGGUUUUCUGUGAGCUGCUCUGAGCGGCACAGCGCCGGGUCCGAGGCUGGAAGCCAGGAGCAAGAGCCGGAGCAAGACGCCUUGGGUUAAAUCCAUUUCACCUCGGGCGCCUGAGAAGUUUCACCAAGUCCUGGGCGCACAGGAAAAGGGCGUCUCCUGAGAUACGUCGGGAGACGCAGCCCCCGCGGAUCCCCUGACCGAGGUUCUGUGCUGAGAACAGAAUGACCACAGGAAAGAAAGGACAACAAUGUCUUUCUUCUGCGCUCAAGAUGACCACAGUUUUGUUGAGAGAAGACAGUUGCACACAAAGCAGAGAAAAGGAAGCACCAGGAGGAAAUGAGGAGAGGACUGGGAGAUCUGAAGAUCCAGUCUGAUGUCACCAAGUGGGAGGUGUCAAGGAGGUGCAAAAUAGCUGAGUGAGAGGAGA